GAUGAACGCUGGCGGCGUGCUAACACAUGCAAGUCGAGCGAGAAGUUUUGAAAAGAUUCUUCGGAUGAAAUUUAAAAUGGAAAGCGGCGGACGGGUGAGUAACGCGUAGGCAACCGGCCCCAUACAAAGGGAUAGCAUUUGGAAACGAAUAUUAAUACCUUAUGAAACUUAACUAGUGCAUGCUAGGUAGGUCAAAGAUUUAUCGGUAUGGGAUGGGCCUGCGUCUGAUUAGCUAGUUGGUGAGGUAACGGCUCACCAAGGCGACGAUCAGUAGCCGACCUGAGAGGGUGAACGGCCACAUUGGAACUGAGACACGGUCCAAACUCCUACGGGAGGCAGCAGUGGGGAAUAUUGCACAAUGGGGGAAACCCUGAUGCAGCAACGCCGCGUGAACGAUGAAGGCCUUUGGGUCGUAAAGUUCUGUUCUAGGUGAUGAAAACUGACAGUAACUUAGGAGAAAGCCCCGGUAA
RNAcentral lists this ribosomal RNA (470 nucleotides) under [Eubacterium] brachy. RNAcentral's name for it is "bacterial SSU rRNA". It matches the Rfam family "Bacterial small subunit ribosomal RNA", at positions 28 to 499 of the family's 1533-position model. The record is from RNAcentral. Lineage: Bacteria; Bacillati; Bacillota; Clostridia; Peptostreptococcales; Anaerovoracaceae.